RNAcentral lists this ribosomal RNA (292 nucleotides) under uncultured bacterium. RNAcentral's name for it is "partial 16S ribosomal RNA". The record is from RNAcentral.
GGACUACCAGGGUUUCUAAUCCUGUUUGCUCCCCACGCUUUCGUGCAUGAGCGUCAGUGUCAGCCCAGAGACCUGCCUUCGCCAUCGGUAUUCCUCCUGAUAUCUACGCAUUUCACUGCUACACCAGGAAUUCCAGUCUCCUCUGCCACACUCCAGCCGUACAGUCCCAAAUGCCAUUCCCAGGUUGAGCCCGGGGAUUUCACAUCUGGCUUAUACAACCGCCUGCGCACGCUUUACGCCCAGUAAUUCCGAUUAACGCUUGCACCCUACGUAUUACCGCGGCUGCUGGCAC